GACGAACGCUGGCGGCGUGCCUAAUACAUGCAAGUAGAACGCUGAAGAGAGGAGCUUGCUCUUCUUGGAUGAGUUGCGAACGGGUGAGUAACGCGUAGGUAACCUGCCUUGUAGCGGGGGAUAACUAUUGGAAACGAUAGCUAAUACCGCAUAACAAUGGAUGACACAUGUCAUUUAUUUGAAAGGGGCAAUUGCUCCACUACAAGAUGGACCUGCGUUGUAUUAGCUAGUAGGUGAGGUAAUGGCUCACCUAGGCGACGAUACAUAGCCGACCUGAGAGGGUGAUCGGCCACACUGGGACUGAGACACGGCCCAGACUCCUACAGGAGGCAGCAGUAGGGAAUCUUCGGCAAUGGGGGCAACCCUGACCGAGCAACGCCGCGUGAGUGAAGAAGGUUUUCGGAUCGUAAAGCUCUGUUGUAAGUCAAGAACGGGUGUGAGAGUGGAAAGUUCACACUGUGACGGUAGCUUACCAGAAAGGGACGGCUAACUACGUG
Molecule: ribosomal RNA, 497 nt
Filed under: uncultured bacterium
Lineage: Bacteria
Description: partial 16S ribosomal RNA
Rfam family: Bacterial small subunit ribosomal RNA
Source: RNAcentral